UACGGGGGGGGCAAGCGUUGUUCGGAAUUACUGGGCGUAAAGGGCUCGUAGGCGGCCAACUAAGUCAGACGUGAAAUCCCUCGGCUUAACCGGGGAACUGCGUCCGAUACUGGAUGGCUUGAGUUCGGGAGAGGGAUGCGGAAUUCCAGGUGUAGCGGUGAAAUGCGUAGAUAUCUGGAGGAACACCGGUGGCGAAGGCGGCAUCCUGGACCAACACUGACACUGAGGAGCGAAAGCCAGAGGAGCAAACGGG
RNAcentral lists this ribosomal RNA (253 nucleotides) under uncultured bacterium. RNAcentral's name for it is "partial 16S ribosomal RNA". It matches the Rfam family "Bacterial small subunit ribosomal RNA", at positions 524 to 776 of the family's 1533-position model. The record is from RNAcentral.